RNAcentral lists this ribosomal RNA (647 nucleotides) under uncultured Basidiomycota. RNAcentral's name for it is "LSU rRNA". It matches the Rfam family "Eukaryotic large subunit ribosomal RNA", at positions 1 to 635 of the family's 3401-position model. The record is from RNAcentral. Lineage: Eukaryota; Fungi; Basidiomycota.
CCUCAAAUCAGGUAGGACUACCCGCUGAACUUAAGCAUAUCAAUAAGCGGAGGAAAAGAAACUAACAAGGAUUCCCCUAGUAACUGCGAGUGAAGCGGGAAAAGCUCAAAUUUAAAAUCUGGCAGUCUUUGGCUGUCCGAGUUGUAAUCUAGAGAAGUGCUAUCCGCGUUGGACCAUGUACAAGUCUCCUGGAAUGGAGCAUCAUAGAGGGUGAGAAUCCCGUCUUUGACAUGGACUACCAGUGCUUUGUGAUGUGCUCUCAAAGAGUCGAGUUGUUUGGGAAUGCAGCUCAAAAUGGGUGGUAAAUUCCAUCUAAAGCUAAAUAUUGGCGAGAGACCGAUAGCGAACAAGUACCGUGAGGGAAAGAUGAAAAGAACUUUGGAAAGAGAGUUAAACAGUACGUGAAAUUGCUGAAAGGGAAACGCUUGAAGUCAGUCACAUUGGCUAGAAAUCAACCUUGCUUUUGCUGGGCGUACUUUCUAGUUAAUGGGUCAGCAUCAAUUUUGACCAUUGGAAAAAGUUCAAGGGAAUGUGGCAUCUUCGGAUGUGUUAUAGCCUUUGUUCGCAUACAAUGGUUGGGAUUGAGGAUCUCAGCACGCCGCAAGGCCGGGUUUCGACCACGUUCGUGCUUAGGAUGCUGGCAUAAU